Molecule: ribosomal RNA, 110 nt
Filed under: uncultured bacterium
Lineage: Bacteria
Description: partial 16S ribosomal RNA
Rfam family: Bacterial small subunit ribosomal RNA
Source: RNAcentral
CCCGGGUCUUGUACACACCGCCCGUCACACCACGAGAGUUUACAACACCCGAAGUCGGUGAGGUAACCGCAAGGAGCCAGCCGCCUAAGGUGGGGUAGAUGAUUGGGGUG